RNAcentral lists this ribosomal RNA (719 nucleotides) under uncultured archaeon. RNAcentral's name for it is "bacterial SSU rRNA". It matches the Rfam family "Archaeal small subunit ribosomal RNA", at positions 27 to 746 of the family's 1478-position model. The record is from RNAcentral.
UUGCUAUCGGAGUCCGAUUUAGCCAUGCUAGUCGUGCGAGUUCAGACUCGCGGCACCGAGCUCGGUAACACGUGGCCAAACUACCCUACAGAGACGGAUACCCUCGGGAAACUGAGAUUAACCCGUCAUACCGAUCUCAGGCUUGAAUCGCAGAGAUCACAAAACGCCCCGGCGCUGUAGGAUGUGGCUGCGGUUGAUUAGGUAGACGGUGGGGUAACGGCCCACCGUGCCCAUAAUCAGUACAGGUUGUGAGAGCAAGAACCUGGAGACGGAAUCUGAGACAAGAUUCCGGGCCCUACGGGGCGCAGCAGGCGCGAAACCUUUACACUGCACGCACGUGCGAUAAGGGGACUCCGAGUGCGAGGGCAUAUCGUCCUCGCUUUCGUGUACCGUAGGGUGGUACACCAACAAGGGCUGGGCAAGACCGGUGCCAGCCGCCGCGGUAAUACCGGCAGCCCGAGUGAUGGCCGAUCUUAUUGGGCCUAAAGCGUCCGUAGCUGGCUACGCAAGUCCGUCGGGAAAUCCACUCGCCCAACGAGUGGGCGUCCGACGGAAACUGCAUAGCUUGGGACCGGAAGGCUCGAAGGGUACGUUCGGGGUAGGAGUGAAAUCCCAUAAUCCCGCACGGACCACCGAUGGCGAAAGCACUUCGAGAAAACGGAUCCGACAGUGAGGGACGAAAGCCAGGGUCUCCAACCGGAUUAGAUACCCGGGUAGUC